ACGACGGAUGAUUAAAUUACAAUGUUUCAUAAGUAACACAGUUCUUUACAAUUUCUUAAAUAUGCGGAAGAAAUAUAUAUUACAUAGUCAAAAUACACGCAACCACUCACAUAUUUUCUAUUCUUUUUGUGUUAUUCUAGUGAAGACCAAAAGCAAGAACAUAUAUUAACAGUGUUGUAGCACAAUGGAAAUAUUAAGUCUACACCUACUCUUUUUGUUGUCAUGUUGCUACUCUGUACAUGGAAAACCUGAAGGAGCAUUACCAGGAGCAUGUGAUACUAUGGAACCAGGACAUUCGGUUACCGCUCAGAACAGUCCAGCCCCAUUUCAAAUAACUCUAGAUAAGACUAGCUACGGAGGAAGUGAUGUAAUAGCAGUAACCUUAUCGAAUACCUCAACAAACCAGUUCAAAGGAUAUUUAAUUCAAGCAAGAAACCAGGAUGGAACAAAAAUUCCAGGCUUCAAACUGAUACAGAACUCUAAAUUUCUGCAAUGUAAUAAUACAAAUGAUGCCAUAACACACACAGAAGCUUCGGAAAAAGACAGUGUUACUUUUAAAUUUACCGCUCCAGCCAAAUCUCGAGGGAAUAUAACAAUUUUCGCGACAGUUGUAGAAAAGACCGAUACUUUCUGGGUAAAGAUUCCGUCGGAAACUAUUAUUGACAUGGCAACUACCGAUGCUACCUCUACGAUCUUGUCAAAUGUUGUUGUAGUUACUUUUGCUGUCCUCUGCAUAUAUCUUUCUUAACACUAAACAAAUGCCAUACAAUUUUUUUCCUGAUGAUAGUACAGCAGUCACUUAAAAAAAUCAUAAGAUAGGGACAUUAACAAUAGUUUAUGAGAAGAAAAACGAAAUUUUCCACUAUUUAAAACAACCUUUAGAUAAAUUUGUCAUGAUCGACUCAUCAAAUAUGAUAAUGUUCAUUGUCAUAGAAACUUGGGUUUUUGUCAUGAAAAUGUACUUUCAAGUCAAUUUGAUGAAACUGCUAAUAUAAAUUGUAUUACAUGUACUUAUAAUUUUUGUUUUUUUGUACCUGUGUUUUUCUUAACUAUUAUAUCUAUAUUAUAUUUAACAGUUAUAUGCUU
Mytilus californianus (California mussel) is the source of this 1086-nucleotide long non-coding RNA. RefSeq lists it as uncharacterized. The transcript has 5 exons. Lineage: Eukaryota; Metazoa; Mollusca; Bivalvia; Mytilida; Mytilidae. The record is from RefSeq and is a predicted model, not a curated record.